Molecule: unclassified non-coding RNA, 562 nt
Filed under: Hevea brasiliensis (rubber tree)
Lineage: Eukaryota; Viridiplantae; Streptophyta; Magnoliopsida; Malpighiales; Euphorbiaceae
Source: RNAcentral
AAGAAGAAGAAGAAGAAGAAGAGUCUUUGGGACCAAAAAGAUGAUCAAAAGAAGAAGCACCACUCUGCUGCCUCUUGUUUUCCAUGAUAUAUACCUAAUAAUUGAGAUAAUAGAUAGCACUAUGUAUAAAAAUUCUUUGUCAACCAACUAAAAAAACAGUACUGCUUUACGAUAGAUAUACGUAUCUCUUUGAGCAACUAUAACGACCUCCCUAGAAAAGACACCAAAAGGGAACAAACAAGAGGUAGCAGAAGCAGUAAUGGGUGGAUAAGAUUUGCAGAGCUAAAAAACAAGAAAAGAAAAAUCAAGAAAAUUAAGAAGAAAUAGUGAGCACGUGAAGAUCGCUGAUUUGGAGAUAUGCAGAGAGAGCAAACGGCCUCUGCAAUUUAUAAGCCCCAAAAGACGUUCUCUUUGGAUUCUAUUGCCCUGCACCAGCCCAUGUGCCUGUACUCAAUUCUCUCUCGACACAUGGACUCUUCAUCUUCUCUCCAGGUGGAAAUUCCUUCCAUCUCCAACCCCUUUUGGCCAUGUGUCUUCUUUGCCCAUAUCUUUGACUCUGUUU